CCGUUGGUGAACCAGCGGAGGGAUCAUUACC
Molecule: ribosomal RNA, 31 nt
Filed under: Metarhizium majus
Lineage: Eukaryota; Fungi; Ascomycota; Sordariomycetes; Hypocreales; Clavicipitaceae
Description: partial 18S ribosomal RNA
Source: RNAcentral